UAUACGAGGUUUGAACUUAAGUUCCAUUGUUUGUCUAUGAAUACUACCAAACGCGAGUUUUCUUUUCAGGUACAUGACGCUAUUAGGACCAAUACCACUUCCACCCCCCCCCACAGCCUCAGGGUUGGCACCCUCAACGUCGGCACACUGAAAGGCAGAUCUGGCGAGAUAGUUGAAUUGCUUGAACGGAGCCAUGUAGUGUACUGGGU
Molecule: long non-coding RNA, 209 nt
Organism: Octopus sinensis (East Asian common octopus)
Lineage: Eukaryota; Metazoa; Mollusca; Cephalopoda; Octopoda; Octopodidae
Exons: 3
Source: RefSeq, a predicted model, not a curated record